RNAcentral lists this ribosomal RNA (485 nucleotides) under uncultured bacterium. RNAcentral describes it as "partial 16S ribosomal RNA". It matches the Rfam family "Bacterial small subunit ribosomal RNA", at positions 899 to 1397 of the family's 1533-position model. The record is from RNAcentral.
ACUCAAAGGAAUUGACGGGGACUUGCACAAGCGGUGGAUGAUGCGGCUCAAUUCGAUGACAAACGAAGAACCUCACCAGGGUUUGAAACUAAUACGUAAGCCUUAGGAAACUUUGGCCCCCGCAAGGCGGAUUAGCAGGUGAUGCAUGGUCGUCGUCAGUUCGUGGCUUGAGUUGUUCCCUUCAGUGGGGUAACGAACGCAACCCUCGUUGCCUGUUUUAUAUGUCAGGCGAGACUGCCCCCUCACGGGGGAGGAAGGUGAGGAUGACGCCAGAUCAGCAUGUCCCUCUGAUAUCCUGGGCUGCACGCAUCAUACAAUGCACACGACAACGGGUCGCGACGGGGUAACCCUGAGCCAAUCCUUAUAACGUGUGCCCAGUUCGGAUUGAGGGCUGCAACUCGCCCUCAUGAAGCCGGAAUCGCUAGUAAUCGCGGGUCAGCUAUACCGCGGUGAAUACGUUCUCAAGUCUUGUACACACCGCCCGU